UACGGAGGGUGCAAGCGUUGCUCGGAAUUAUUGGGCGUAAAGGGUAGGUAGGUGGUCUCAUUUGUCUGGGGUGAAAGCCUUGGACUUAACUCAAGAAGUGCCCCAGAAACGGUGAGACUGGAGUCCUGGAGAGGGUCGUGGAAUUCCCGGUGUAGCGGUGAAAUGCGUAGAGAUCGGGAGGAACACCAGAGGCGAAAGCGGCGACCUGGACAGGUACUGACACUCAACUACGAAAGCGUGGGGAGCAAACAGG
Molecule: ribosomal RNA, 253 nt
Filed under: uncultured bacterium
Lineage: Bacteria
Description: partial 16S ribosomal RNA
Rfam family: Bacterial small subunit ribosomal RNA
Source: RNAcentral